AUCCGGCUGACGAAUCCUUAAUAGGACGAAAUUUACAUCCUGGAU
Schistosoma curassoni is the source of this 45-nucleotide non-coding RNA. Lineage: Eukaryota; Metazoa; Platyhelminthes; Trematoda; Strigeidida; Schistosomatidae. The record is from Rfam.